Small nucleolar RNA from Manis pentadactyla (Chinese pangolin), 209 nucleotides. RefSeq annotates it as small nucleolar RNA U3. The transcript has a single exon. Lineage: Eukaryota; Metazoa; Chordata; Mammalia; Pholidota; Manidae. The record is from RefSeq and is a predicted model, not a curated record.
AACACUACACCUCCAGGGACCAUUUCUGCAGUAUGUUACCAGAGAAGUGUCUCUGAACAGAGCAGGAUGUCAGAAGUCCUGGGGAUGAGCUGUGGUCUCAGUCCCGCGUUUGAAGUUGGCCAGUGGUGCCACCUAGUGGAGCUACUGCUUAUGGCUGGGGAUGGUUUUUUUGGGAAAGAUUAAGCGGGAGCGAAGCCAAUCUCAGGUAU